AUUUACAUUCUGUUCAGGCAACCUCGGGCAAUCUUUAAUGAAGUGGUCAACUGAUCCGCACUUGUAACAGGAGCGGUCAGGGAAUCUACAACUCCCCGAAUGCCAUUUACCGCAAUAUCGACAUUUCGUUCUAUCUCGACGUUCAUUCCCAACACUGGCGACCGAAGUGCCUCGUGUACCCACAGGGGGUCGAUCACGAUCUCGUCUAAAAAGGCCCGAAGUGCCUCUCGACCAGCCCACAUCAUCUCGAAAUUUCUUCGAUGCAUGUUGAAGAGACUUUCCCGAAGAUCUUUUACGAAACUCUCUAGUUCCCACAUCAACCUUUUGUUUUUCU
RNAcentral lists this long non-coding RNA (334 nucleotides) under Gossypium barbadense (sea-island cotton). Its description in RNAcentral is "long non-coding RNA (GBAR_LNC002312)". The record is from RNAcentral. Lineage: Eukaryota; Viridiplantae; Streptophyta; Magnoliopsida; Malvales; Malvaceae.